Molecule: ribosomal RNA, 460 nt
Filed under: uncultured bacterium
Lineage: Bacteria
Description: partial 16S ribosomal RNA
Rfam family: Bacterial small subunit ribosomal RNA
Source: RNAcentral
CCUACGUGUGGCAGCAGUGAGGAAUAUUGGUCAAUGGACGAGAGUCUGAACCAGCCAAGUAGCGUGAAGGAUGACUGCCCUAUGGGUUGUAAACUUCUUUUAUAUGGGAAUAAAACAGGGUAUACAUACCCUAUUGUAUGUACCAUAUGAAUAAGGAUCGGCUAACUCCGUGCCAGCAGCCGCGGUAAUACGGAGGAUCCGAGCGUUAUCCGGCUUUAUUGGGUUUAAAGGGAGCGUAGGUGGAUUGUUAAGUCAGUUGUGAAAGUUUGCGGCUCAACCGUAAAAUUGCAGUUGAAACUGGCAGUCUUGAGUACAGUAGAGGUGGGCGGAAUUCGUGGUGUAGCGGUGAAAUGCUUAGAUAUCACGAAGAACUCCGAUUGCGAAGGCAGCUCACUGGACUGCAACUGUCACUGAUGCUCGAAAGUGUGGGUAUCAAACAGGAUUAGAUACCCUUGUAGUC